Molecule: long non-coding RNA, 495 nt
Organism: Planococcus citri (citrus mealybug)
Lineage: Eukaryota; Metazoa; Arthropoda; Insecta; Hemiptera; Pseudococcidae
Exons: 3
Source: RefSeq, a predicted model, not a curated record
UUGUUCUGUGCUAUUCAGUCAGGUAAUGGCGUACGCGGUUUUGUUUCGCUUUUCGUGGUAUUUCGUUCGUGUUUUUUGCAAUUUAUUAAUUAAAUAAUUAAUUUCGAGUAAUUGUUUCGGUAUCUUAUUCAUCAAUUAAACUAUUCAAUCCAUCGGUAAACUUGUUGGAAUCGGUAACUCUUCGUAUAACGAGUCUCUGUCUUCGGUCUUCUACCAGUUCACCGGAAACCGGAUUAAGACAUAAAUAUCAGUUCAGCUGUGAAUUGUGAUCGAUCUUCGCGUGUUACGAUCGUUUCUAUCGAACUUCUAUAACUGAUCCGAAUCUGUUCGUCGAACUUCUGCGUUCUUCGUUGAUGCUCUGUUAGUUUCUGCGUUGUAUUGUGUUAUUCGAAAACACUCGAUCGGAUCCGUCGAAGUACAGUUUCAGUGUUUUUUGAAUCAUUCAUAGUCGUUGGAAAUUCGUCGAUUCAUGUUAUUUCGUAUUCAAUAUUGAGG